CAAGAUGAGGUUAUAGACAUACUUUCUUCAUGCCAAUUUUCUAUAAGAGUUUUCUUGUGGACUAACUUUGGUCAAUGAAGAUCCCCUUUCUUGUUUGUCUUAAUUUGGAGUUUGAGAGAAAAUGUUAACUCAUUCAUCAUAUAUAUUUCAAACUCACCUUGCAAGAGCUUAGUAAAAUCUUCAUUAGUAAAACCAAAAAUGAUGUCAUCAAUGUAUACUUUGAGU
RNAcentral lists this long non-coding RNA (225 nucleotides) under Phoenix dactylifera (date palm). RNAcentral describes it as "long non-coding RNA (PDAC_LNC016321)". The record is from RNAcentral. Lineage: Eukaryota; Viridiplantae; Streptophyta; Magnoliopsida; Arecales; Arecaceae.